CGAACGGGUGAGUAAUACGUGGGUGACCUGCCCUGAAGAGGGGGAUAACCAUUGGAAACGGUGGCUAAUACCCCAUGCGAUCACAAGGGUUAGAGGCCUUGUGAUCAAAGCUUCGGCGCUUUAGGAGGGGCCCAUGGCCUAUCAGCUAGUUGGUGGGGUAACGGCCCACCAAGGCUAUGACGGGUAGCUGGUCUGAGAGGACGAUCAGCCACACUGGCACUGAGACACGGGCCAG
RNAcentral lists this ribosomal RNA (235 nucleotides) under uncultured bacterium. RNAcentral describes it as "partial 16S ribosomal RNA". It matches the Rfam family "Bacterial small subunit ribosomal RNA", at positions 99 to 334 of the family's 1533-position model. The record is from RNAcentral.